Molecule: non-coding RNA, 550 nt
Organism: Xyrichtys novacula (pearly razorfish)
Lineage: Eukaryota; Metazoa; Chordata; Actinopteri; Labriformes; Labridae
Source: the annotation of a GenBank genome assembly
AUUUCAAGAGUACCCAGAUGCAGCGCCAAGAUGGCGGACCCAAAGAUAAAAAACCACAUUUACAAAACGCAAUAAGUUUCCGCAUUACCUCCGAUUGGCGGACCCAAAACAUGAACUUUGAACUUCUGCUUUGCGAUGCCAGAACAGUAGGUGGCGGUAUGCACCUACACUUUCUGACGGCAAAAUUUACAGAAGAAGAAGAACUCUCAGGAAGUUUGAAAAGAAGCAAGCCGUCCGCAUUCAUUCAAUCUCACCUCCGACCCACUCAAACUAACCCUAACCCUGCAUUCCAUUGUUUCCAUCAUGGGAAAUCUAAGUGACGCUCUCAAAUUAACAGGAACAUUGCGCAGAAGAUAUGUCCUGGGCAAUGGACUGAGAAAACGGGCAGAGAUUUAGAGGUAUUUGUGCAUGCUCUAUAUUACAGUUGAAAAGUGUAUAACAGCUUUCCAAUGCUGUUACUUGUGGCGAACACCUUUUUGCUUGAGUUGAUGCGUGCCCGCAGGUGGAAUAAUGUCACAUGUCACACACAUUUUCUGUUGUUUUGAUUUAU